This 447-nucleotide ribosomal RNA is filed under the name Escherichia coli. RNAcentral describes it as "partial 23S ribosomal RNA". It matches the Rfam family "Bacterial large subunit ribosomal RNA", at positions 795 to 1239 of the family's 2925-position model. Lineage: Bacteria; Pseudomonadati; Pseudomonadota; Gammaproteobacteria; Enterobacterales; Enterobacteriaceae. The record is from RNAcentral.
AAUUAGCGGAUGACUUGUGGCUGGGGGUGAAAGGCCAAUCAAACCGGGAGAUAGCUGGUUCUCCCCGAAAGCUAUUUAGGUAGCGCCUCGUGAAUUCAUCUCCGGGGGUAGAGCACUGUUUCGGCAAGGGGGUCAUCCCGACUUACCAACCCGAUGCAAACUGCGAAUACCGGAGAAUGUUAUCACGGGAGACACACGGCGGGUGCUAACGUCCGUCGUGAAGAGGGAAACAACCCAGACCGCCAGCUAAGGUCCCAAAGUCAUGGUUAAGUGGGAAACGAUGUGGGAAGGCCCAGACAGCCAGGAUGUUGGCUUAGAAGCAGCCAUCAUUUAAAGAAAGCGUAAUAGCUCACUGGUCGAGUCGGCCUGCGCGGAAGAUGUAACGGGGCUAAACCAUGCACCGAAGCUGCGGCAGCGACGCUUAUGCGUUGUUGGGUAGGGGAGCGU